RNAcentral lists this ribosomal RNA (442 nucleotides) under uncultured bacterium. Its description in RNAcentral is "bacterial SSU rRNA". It matches the Rfam family "Bacterial small subunit ribosomal RNA", at positions 958 to 1398 of the family's 1533-position model. The record is from RNAcentral.
AACGCGAAGAACCUUACCUACUCUUGACAUCUUCGGAAUCCUUUAGAGAUAGAGGAGUGCCUUCGGGAACCGGAAGACAGGUGCUGCAUGGCUGUCGUCAGCUCGUGUCGUGAGAUGUUGGGUUAAGUCCCGUAACGAGCGCAACCCUUGUCCUUAGUUGCCAACAGGUAAAGCUGGGAACUCUAAGGAGACUGCCGGUGACAAGCCGGAGGAAGGUGGGGAUGACGUCAAGUCCUCAUGGCCCUUACGAGUAGGGCUACACACGUGCUACAAUGGGCAGUACAGCGGGAAGCGAAGCCGCGAGGUGGAGCGAAUCUUAUCAAAGCUGUUCGUAGUCCGGAUUGGAGUCUGCAACUCGACUCCAUGAAGUUGGAAUCGCUAGUAAUCGUGGAUCAGAACGCCACGGUGAAUACGUUCUCGGGCCUUGUACACACCGACGCAC